Molecule: microRNA precursor, 54 nt
Filed under: Schmidtea mediterranea
Lineage: Eukaryota; Metazoa; Platyhelminthes; Tricladida; Dugesiidae
Description: Sme-Mir-190-P20_pre stem-loop
Source: RNAcentral
AGAUAUGUUUGGUUAAUUGGUGAUAGGUAACCACCACUGACCGAGCAUAUCCAG